AGAGUUUGAUCCUGGCUCAGAUUGAACGCUGGCGGCAUGCCUAACACAUGCAAGUCGAACGGUAACGACGGAAAUGAUCCCUUCGGGGUGAUUUUCCGGGCGACGAGUGGCGGACGGGUGAGUAAUGCAUAGGAAUCUGCCCAGUAGCGGGGGACAACUCGGGGAAACUCGAGCUAAUACCGCAUACGCCCUACGGGGGAAAGCGGGGGACCUUCGGGCCUCGCACUAUUGGAUGAGCCUAUGUCUGAUUAGCUUGUUGGUGGGGUAACGGCCUACCAAGGCAGCGAUCAGUAGCUGGUCUGAGAGGAUGAUCAGCCACACUGGGACUGAGACACGGCCCAGACUCCUACGGGAGGCAGCAGUGGGGAAUAUUGGACAAUGGGGGCAACCCUGAUCCAGCCAUGCCGCGUGGGUGAAGAAGGCCUUCGGGUUGUAAAGCCCUUUUGUUCGGAAAGAAAUCUCUUCGGCUAAUACUCGGAGAGGAUGACGGUACCGAAAGAAUAAGCACCGGCUAACUUCGUGCCAGCAGCCGCGGUAAUACGAAGGGUGCAAGCGUUACUCGGAAUUACUGGGCGUAAAGCGUGCGCAGGCGGUUUGUUAAGUCUGAUGUGAAAGCCCCGGGCUCAACCUGGGAAUUGCAUUGGAAACUGGCAGGCUAGAGUGCGGUAGAGGAUGGUGGAAUUCCCGGUGUAGCGGCGAAAUGCGUAGAGAUUGGGAAGAACACCGGUGGCGAAAGCGCUCUACUGGACCAUAACUGACACUCAGAGGACGAAAGCUAGGGGAGCGAAAGGGAUUAGAUACCCCUGUAGUCCUAGCCGUAAACGAUGGAUACUAGGCGUUGAGAGUAUCGACCCUCUCAGUGCCGAAGCUAACGCGUUAAGUAUCCCGCCUGGGGAGUACGCACGCAAGUGUGAAACUCAAAGGAAUUGACGGGGGCCCGCACAAGCGGUGGAGGAUGUGGUUUAAUUCGAUGCAACGCGAAGAACCUUACCAGGGCUUGACAUGUCCGGAAUCUCGGUGAAAGCCGGGAGUGCCUUCGGGAACCGGAACACAGGUGGUGCAUGGCUGUCGUCAGCUCGUGUCGUGAGAUGUUGGGUUAAGUCCCGCAACGAGCGCAACCCUCGUCCUUAGUUGCCAGCAUUAAGUUGGGCACUUUAGGGAGACUGCCGGGGACAACUCGGAGGAAGGUGAGGAUGACGUCAAGUCAGCAUGCCCCUUACGUCCUGGGCUACACACGUACUACAAUGGCCGAUACAGAGGGUUGCCAAGUCGCGAGACGGAGCUAAUCCCAGAAAGUCGGUCGUAGUCCGGAUCGGAGUCUGCAACUCGACUCCGUGAAGUCGGAAUCGCUAGUAAUCGCGAAUCAGCACUUGUCGCGGUGAAUACGUUCCCGGGCCUUGUACACACCGCCCGUCACACCAUGGAAGUCUGCUGCACCAGAAGCCGGUCGCCUAACCGCAAGGAGGGCGCCGUCCACGGUGUGGCCGAUGACUGGGGUGAAGUCGUAACAAGGUAACCGUA
RNAcentral lists this ribosomal RNA (1521 nucleotides) under uncultured bacterium. RNAcentral describes it as "16S ribosomal RNA". It matches the Rfam family "Bacterial small subunit ribosomal RNA". The record is from RNAcentral.